RNAcentral lists this non-coding RNA (30 nucleotides) under Rattus norvegicus (Norway rat). Lineage: Eukaryota; Metazoa; Chordata; Mammalia; Rodentia; Muridae. The record is from RNAcentral.
UGAGACCUCGACUCUAAGGAAAGGGUAUGC